RNAcentral lists this microRNA precursor (84 nucleotides) under Bombyx mori (domestic silkworm). RNAcentral describes it as "mir-2807 microRNA precursor family". It matches the Rfam family "mir-2807 microRNA precursor family". The record is from Rfam by way of RNAcentral. Lineage: Eukaryota; Metazoa; Arthropoda; Insecta; Lepidoptera; Bombycidae.
UUAACUUAUUUUUUUAUGGAUUUGAAACGUUUGUCUACGUUUGUCGCUAGGGGCGUUGUUUCAACUCCAUACAAAUUUGAGUUA